RNAcentral lists this ribosomal RNA (301 nucleotides) under uncultured bacterium. RNAcentral's name for it is "partial 16S ribosomal RNA". It matches the Rfam family "Bacterial small subunit ribosomal RNA", at positions 509 to 807 of the family's 1533-position model. The record is from RNAcentral.
CAGUCGCCACGGGAAUACGUAGGGUGCAAGCGUUAAUCGGAAUUACUGGGCGUAAAGCGUGCGCAGGCGGUUCGUUAAGACAGAUGUGAAAUCCCCGGGCUUAACCUGGGAACUGCAUUUGUGACUGGCGGGCUAGAGUAUGGCAGAGGGGGGUAGAAUUCCACGUGUAGCAGUGAAAUGCGUAGAGAUGUGGAGGAAUACCGAUGGCGAAAGCAGCCCCCUGGGCCAAUACUGACGCUCAUGCACGAAAGCGUGGGGAGCAAACAGGAUUAGAUACCCCUGUAGUCCCUGUCUCUUAUAC